CCCCUCCACCUCCAGCUCCCUUGGCCACCUCACCUUCGGCGCUUCCGCCGCCACCAAUGCUAACCUCAAAUACACUCCCUUGUCCACAAUCUCCGGCGACAACACCUUCUACGGUCUCGACAUCGUCGGCAUCUCCGUUGGCGGCACCAAGCUCCCUGCUGUCUCCUCCUCCACCUUCUCCGCCGGUGGCUCCAUCAUCGACUCCGGCACCGUGAUCACGCGGCUGGCCCCGACCGCGUACGCCGCGCUCCGGUCGGCAUUUCGGCAGGGUAUGGAGAAGUACCCCGUUGCCAACGAGGACGGCCUAUUUGACACGUGUUAUGAUUUCAGUGGGUAUAAGGAGAUUUCAGUUCCGAAGAUAGAUUUUGAAUUUGCCGGUGGCGUCACGGUGGAGUUGCCAUUGGUGGGGAUACUCAUUGGGAGAAGUGCGCAACAAGUGUGUUUGGCUUUUGCUGCAAAUGGGAAUGACAAUGAUAUUACGAUAUUUGGGAAUGUGCAACAAAAGACACUAGAGGUCGUGUAUGAUGUUGAGGGUGGGAGGAUAGGGUUUGGUGCUGCUGGGUGCAACUGAAGGGAUUUUGAUUAAUAGUGGUGUUAAUUAAACAUGCUUUGGGCUUGUUAGGGUGGAAGAAAUCUUAAUUGGCUCUGGCAUUUUUAAUUACUAGAAAGUACUCUAAAUAUAUGAAAAAAUAUUGAAGGAAAUGAUGUGGAAAAUAUGGUGUAACAUGUAGAAUGGAGGGGAUGUUAUAUUAUAUAUGACUCCCAACCAUUGGGGUUGCUUGCAAUUGAACAUACAUGGGUAAUACUACCUAUGGUUUUAUAUAUAUAAGUCAUUCAAUUAAUUCACACCAUCUAAUAGUUAACUUAGCUAAAUAUAUUAAAUUUAUUAAUAAUUUAGACUUUUUUGGGUUCAUAUUAAGUAAAAUUAAAUUAAAUUUAUAAAGAAAGUUAGUUGAAAUUAUUUAAUUUUACUAAUUUAAAGUAAAAUAAUAAGAUUAUCUCUAAAAUGUUUUUCAUUAGAAUUUGAUAUCAUAAAUAAAUAGAGUACUUAAAUAUAAAGUUUAAUUAAAUGAAAAAUGUUUUAAGAAUGAUAUCAUUGAAUAAGGAUAAAAUUAAUUAGAUUUGUUUAUAUUUGAGUUCAAACUCUUAAAAAAAUCAAAAUUAACAAAGAAUCAAAUAUAUCACAAAAUAAACAAAAAAAAAAGUCAUAGAAGAAGACUUUGUGAUUAGCAAAAUGCUCUCACAAAUUUUGGGUCCUACAAGCACUUGGGUGAGGGACUUUUUUGUCCCACGGACAAUGAUAGAAUCUAUUGAGAUGCAUCUACCUCAACCCCCACUAGACCAAUCUUGUGUGUAGAAUGUGAGAAUAAAUAAUCAUUUUUCUAUGCAAAUUUGUAAAUAACAAUAAUACAUUAAAAUAAAAUAUAAUGAAUAAACAAGUUAAAUAAUUAUGAGUUUUGCUUGAUAUCUCAUAAUAUCUAGUAGUAAAUAUAUUAACAACAUUCAAAGUUUUCUUUAACAUCCAAAGUCUCAAAAUACCUAUUUUUAUAAAUACCUAUUUAAAGUCUUAUAAUUUAUAACAUAAGUAGAAUAUAUAAUUAAUUUUCAAACACCCAGAUUAUCAUCUAAUUCAUCAUCUAGUUGAUCACAUGGAGGAGGUUGUCAAGCACAUUGAAUUGAUUGAGAUGUUUGUAUUCUCCAUAAAUCAAGUCAUUUGCUCACAAAAUAAAUAGUCAUCGUGUGAUUCAAGAAACAUAUCUUUCAAGUUCUUAUCUUCUUCGGUCAAAUCAGAAACUUGAGCUUUCAUUUUCUUAUAUUCAUGCAAUGAGAAACCAUAAGAUGAUAUGGAUGAGGAAGAAGGCUUGUAUUUCCUAGCCUCUAAACCAAGACCAAAUAUCAAUUGUUAGAGCCCUUAAAACAUUUUUUUUUCUUAUAUAUGAGUUUAGAGGAAGUACUACUCUUUCAAAAUUAUCCUUUAUUUCUCUCUAAUUGAUUAAUGUGACUUUUUUUAUUCUCCAAUCCUAAUAAAAGAGAGUGUAAUUGAUUAAAGAUAUUAUAAAAAUAAAUAAUUAAUGCACCAAACAAUUAAAAACAAGUAUUACAAAAAUGGACAAAAAAUAAAGUAAAAAUGAUCUUAUAUAUAAUGAUGGAGGUUGUAUGAAACAAAUAUAAACUUGUUAUUAGAGGUUUGUUGAUUAAGUAAAAAAUGUCUUUAUUUUGGAAUAUUUUUUUAUUUAGAUUGAUUAUGUUUAUUUUUUACAAUCUUUUAAUUUGUAUAUUAUAUUCAUGUAUAUAUGGAGGGGUGAAUAUAUGACUCUCAAGCCGUGCGAUUGCUUGCAAUUGUACAUAUGUAAGGUGGAAAUAAAAUGCAAACUUGUCUUUGUUAUUAAUUAAAUGUUUGUUGAAUAAAGCGAAAUUAAAGGUCUUGCUUUGGGUUAUUUAUUUCGUUUUGUUGUUUAAUUUUGAUAUCAUAUGUGGUAGAAUUUUGUUUUUGAUAAUCUUUGUGAUGUGUGUCAGAGAAAAAAUAAAUGCAGUGAUAGAUGUGGAUUUGGCUCUUUUAAAAUGGUGAGAUACUCUUUAGAGAGCAGUUGAUUAAUCAACAAUCAAAUGACAUAUAUAUGAUUACACAUUGCAAGUAGAUUAAAAAAUCACUGGAUCACAGCAUCAUUUAGUACGUAAAAUAUCUUGCAAUGGAACAACAAUUUGCCUAAUAUAUAUGUCAUGGCUAGCUGUGCAUGGGAAUCCAUUGACGCUGAGGAUUUUAAAGCUUCCCGGAGUUUGGACUAUAUAGUUUUUUAGUUUUUUUUGUUAAUAAGUUUUGGUUCUUCAUCAUGCCAAGAUAUAUGCAUGGAAGAGGUUACACAUGAAUUACGAGAAUGUUGAUAUGCUCUUUAAAUUUCCAUGGAUGUGCAAUAACAAGUCGAUAAGAAUAGAUAAACAAUUUUAUAUAAAAAAUAGAGAAAAAAUACUUUUAAAUUUAAAAUGUUAAAUAUAAUAUAUCAUUAACAUUUUACGGCAAAUCUCUUCCAAAUUAAAAUGAAUUCAGCUUCAACCAGGGGAAUAAUAAAUAUAUAGUUGGUCAAUUUUGCUUUAGUUAAGUAAUGAACCUAUGCUUCCUUAAAAGCAAAAACUCCAAAUCUUUAAUUGUUAUUUUUACCUUUCCGUCGUCAAACAAAAAAAGUGAUGAAUAUAUGCUUCCUUAAAAAAUUCGGUCAUUUUUCUCUUUUACAAGUCGCAAAACAGUAUAUAAGAAUCUAGAAGUCUUAAAAAUGAUUUUAGCCUUUUGGAUUAUUAUUUUUUUAGUCUUUUAAAAAAAAUACUUUUUUAGAACUUUAAAUUUUCAAAAAUAUACUUUUACGCUCUCAUAUUCUUUGUGUUAAUAGUGUUACAAAUUAUAUCAAUUUUCAUGGUUAGAAAUAUUUUUUAAUUUAACUUCAGUAAAAAUAUUUUAUGAUAGUUUAAAAUCGUCAAAAAUAUAUAAAAAAUAAUUAGAAUAUGUAAAAAAACAAUGACUACCAAACCAUUCAACUAAAAUAAUUUGGUAGUUUAAAAUCAUCAUAAAUCAUUUUUUAAAAAUAAAUUUUAAAAAAAUAAAUUUUGACAUUAAAAAACCCUUAGAAAUUGUGAAAUCAUGAACACAAUAAGAAUGAGAGAAUGAAGUAAAUUUUUUUAAAAAAUUGAGAGACUAAUAAAAAAAUGGAGUAAAAAAAUGAUUAUCCAAAUUUUAAGGAUAAAAAAUAUAUUUAAAUUAAUUUAAAAUAAAAGAAAAGAUCGUAAAAAUGUUGAGAGUAAAGAAUGUUUUUAACCUUUUUCCAUCAACAUUUUCUGCUGCUGUUGGUUAAAGCUAUUGUUUUAUUGGUGUCAACUAAGAUCUUUUUUUAUUGAUAUCAACUAAGGUUAUUUUUCAGCUGACAUUAUUUAGAGUUUUCUUUUUCAGUUGGCGUCAACCAAGGUUAUUUUUUGCUGACAUUGACCAUAACUAAUUUUUGGCACACAAUAACUAUGAUUUUUUUUGCCGAUGUUGGUCAAUGUUACUUUUUUGCUGAUGAUGGUUAGGAUUUUUUUUGUCGAUAUCAAUCGAGACUAUUUUUUUAGCUAACAUCUAUUAGGUUUUAUAUGCUUGGCAUCGACCAAAGCUAUUUUUGGCUGACAUCGGCUAGUGAUGUUUGGCUGACAUUGACUACUCACUUUUUUUUUUGUUAACUUCAGUUAAAGUUAUUUUUUGAUGAGGUCGUCCAAGACUAUUUUUUCACCAAGGUCGACCAAAAAAUAUUAUUGGCCGAUGUUGAUAAAUAAAAACAUGAACAAUCGAUGUCAGCCAAACAUCACUGGUCAAUGUCAUCCAAAAAAAAAAAUNNNNNNNNNNNNNNNNNNNNNNNNNNNNNNNNNNNNNNNNNNNNNNNNNNNNNNNNNNNNNNNNNNNNNNNNNNNNNNNNNNNNNNNNNNNNNNNNNNNNGUGACAUUAUGUUGAAAAAACUCUAACCAAUAUCAGCUGAAAAAAUAUUCCUAGGCGACGUCGACCAAAAAAAUCCUAAACAACACCAGUAAACAAAUAUCUCAAACCAAUGCCAACAAUAAAACCCAAGGUGAUGUUUCCAAGAAACAUCACCAACCGACGUUGACCAAAAAAAUCCUAGUCAACAUAGAUUGAAAAAUAGCCUUAACAAAAAAAUAGUCUUGACCGAUGUCGACGAAAAAAAAAUCGUAGCUGACAUGACCAAAAAAUAGUCUCGACUAACAUUGAUUGCAAAAAACCCUCAUCGGCAUCGACCAAAAGCUAGACUUGACUGAUGUAGGACAAAAAAUAUCAUAAGUUGACAUUGUCCAAAAAUAUAGUUUAGACCAACAUUGAAAAAAAAACCUAGCCGACAUCAACCAAAAAAAGCAUCAGCUGAAAAGCAUCAUCAAUGUUGGUUAAAAAAACUCUAGAUGACAACAACAAAAAAUAGCUCUAACCAACGUCGGCUUUAAAAAUUUAGUCGGCAUUGUCCGAAAAAUAGUCUCGACCGAUGUUGCCUGAGAAACAUCAUCAAAUAAAGUUGAACAAAAAAACUCUAGCCAACAUCUAUCUACAAAUAAUCGUAGUCGACAUCGGCUGAAAAAUAGUCUCCGCAAAAUAAUUACCUUUUUUUCAAUCUUUGACCAGAGUUAUUUUUGGAGGAAUGCUUUAAAAUUUAAAAAUCCAAUAAAACUCAAUAACAUAUUCAAAUAAUUGAAUUGGAAAUCUAAAAAAUUGGAUUCGAAUUUCAAACCUAUCCAUUAAAAUGAAUUUAAAAUGAUUUAGAUAUAAUUGGUUACGAAUUGAUUUUAUAUAACCUGACUUUUUGAACACUCUAAUAAAAACUAAUUAUUGUUUCCUUUUAAAUGUGUAAUUGGAUAAAGGAACUCUAUUCUUUCACUCACUUCCUAAUUUACUUCGUAGAGCUUCUUAAAAGUAUCAAUGAAUAAUUUACUUCGAAGAGCUUCUUAAAAGUAUUAAUGAAUGAGGUUCCUAAUAUACUUCAAAGAGGUUUUUAAAAGUUUUAAUGGAUGAGGUUUCAAUGCUACAUUACUCUAACAUUGUUGUUUAAGAUAAAAAAAAAGAAUAAAUAUUUAUAUCUCACAGCAUAAGAAAGAGUAUAUAAUAAUGGAUGUUCUUGUCAAGAAAAAUAAAAUAAAAUUUAUAAUAAAAAAUGAUAUUAACAAACUGUUUCAAAUUCCUUAACUUAUUAUAUUAAUACUUAAAUAUUUAUAUUUCUCAGCAUAAAAAAAUAUUUAUAUCUCUGCUGAAUAUUUAGUUACCUUAAUCACUAAAAUAUUUUACAAAUUUAUUAUGUUUUUCUAUGGCAAAAUUAAAUUAAAUUAAUAUGAUUAUGAGUGUGAUCAUUAAGGUAAUUAAGUAAGCCAGCCUUUGAUUUAUUUGACCAACUUAAAAGUUUGUUUGAUGAAAAUAUAAUUAUUCAGAAAAGGGGUUUAUUUCUCUAAUUUCUGGGAUUUUAUUAAAAUCUAUUUUAUGUAGCAUUUUAUACUUAAUUGAUCUCCUAAUAUAGUCAUUUUCUCAUUUUUAUCAUCGUUAUAUUAUUAAAAUUUCUCUUUUAGACUUUUUAUGUUUAUAAAUUGUUAAUGCUCUAACACUUUCUCACUCUCUUGAAAUUAUCAUUUCUAUGAUAAUAUAAAAUCAGUAAUAUUAUAUUAUAAAUAUAUUUAUAUUAUCCUAUUUCAUUCAAUAAAAUUUUAAAAAUAUUAUCCUUUCUUUUAAGUUGAUAAAUUAUUUGAAAUAAGUUAAACUAUGACAAGUGAUAUUUACUUGAAAAUAUACAUAAUUACCAAAGUAAGUUAUCAUCAACUGAGUCAAUGUGCCUUUUUACAUCCUUAUAUUUUUCAACUAGUUUAACAUUUUAUUUUACUAAAUACUUUUGGUUUAGCCAGAUAAUUUAUCGACUUACAUCUAAAUUUUCCGUUUUCAACUUCUAAUAAUUUUUCAGAUUUCAACUAAUGUAUCCACUAGUUUUACUAAACAUCUUCUAUAUAUUCGACCAUUCUUAGUUCGUACGAUUGAAAUGUGAUUUUUUUUAUACCUCUUUUUCUCCUUAAUUAGUUUGUGGUAGGGACAAAGUUGUUUCGUCUAAAUUUUAACAGUUUGUGGUUUGGGAUACAGUUGUUACACAGCAGGGUGAGAAUGACUGAAUGAGAGUUACAGUUGGAUUGUAGUAUAAUUAUUUCUCUUAUUUGGAUCUAAAUUUUAACCAAAUUAAACAUCAAUUAUAUAAUAUCAACUUGAAAUUAAUUUAACCAUAUGUUUCAUAAAAGAAUAUCAGUAACCAUUUUGCUUUGAAUUAAUUUCAGAUUUUAAGGGUAAAAUAACUAUUUUUCCCUAAUUUUUUUUAGUAUGACCGUGUAUAAUAUUGAUAAAUUAGCUCGGCCUUAAUUAUAAGUGCAUGCAUGAUAAGCUCCAAACAAAAGAAAUCACGUUUAGCCAAAAAAAAAAUAGGUGAUAUGUAGCUGUCUGAUCAUAAUAGAUUUAACUUAGACGUGUAGCACUUGUGAAUCACAAACUCUUUAACUUAGACGUGUAGCUGUCUGAUCAUAAUAGAUAAAUCAUGUUUAAUAAGAUAUGUUGGUUAAUUUUUAACUGAAAUAAUUUUUUUUAAUUUAAUAUUUUUUGAAAUAUUACUUAAACUAACAUUUAGUUUCUAACUUUUAAUUUUUUUAUAUUUUCUUUCAUUUUUAUCUUUUAUAUAUUUAUCAAAAUUUUUAAUUAUCUUUUAAAUAAAUUAUAAUUUUAUUAUUUUUAUGUCAUUUUGUAUUUUUUAAUUAUUUUAAAAUCAUUUGUGAUAGUUUAAAAUCGUAAUAUAUAUAUAUAUAUAUAUAUAUAUAUAUAUAUAUAAUAGAAUAUGUAAAAAAAAACACAAUGACUACCAAAUCAUUCAAGUAAAAUAAUUUGACAGUUUAAAAUCAUCAUAAAUCAUUUUUUAAAAAUAAAAUUUUUAAAAAAUAAUUUUUGACAUUAAAAAACCCUUAUAAAUUAUGAAAUCAUGAACACAAUGAGAAUGAGAGAAUGGAGAAAAUUUUAAAAAAAUUGAGAGACUAAUAGAAAAAUGAUUUAUUAUGAUGUUGGACAAAAAUUAGUCUCAAUGAGUUGAAAAAACUUUAACCAAUAUUGGCUGGAAAAAUAUCCCGAGGCGACGUCAACAAAAAAAAUCCUAGACAACAUUAGUAAACAAAUAUCCCACACCAACGUUGGCCAUAAAACUCUGGUUGAUGUCUCCAAGAAACAUCACCAACCGACAUUGGCCAACAAAACCAUAGUCAACAUAGAUUGAAAAAUGGCAUCAACCAAAAAAUAUUCUUGAUUGGAAUCGACGAAAAAAAAAAGUUGUAGCCGACGCGACGAAACAAUAGUCUCGACUGACAUCAAUUGCAGAAAAAAAAAUUGGACGAAAUAGCUCCAACCACAAGCUAUUUCAUAAGUUGACAUCGAUCAAAAGCUAGACUCAACUCAUGUUGGACAAAAAAUAUCAUAAGUUGACAUUGACGAAAAAUAGUUUCAACUAACAUUGGAAAAAACCUAGACAACAUCAAACGAAAAAAAUCAUCAAUUGACGUUGGUUAAAAAACUCUAUAUGACAUCAACAAAAAAUAACUCUGAUCAACGUCGGCUAAAAAAACCUAGUCAGUAUUGUCCAAAAAAUAGUCUCGACCGAUGUUGCCUGAGAAACAUCAUCAACUGACGUUGAACAAAAAAACUCUGGCAAACGUCUAUAUACAAAUAGUCACAGUCGACGUCGACUGAAAAAUAAUUUCAACUAAUGUUGGUAAAAUAAUUACCUUUUUUUUUCAACCUUGACGAGAGUUAAUUUUUUAGGGAUGCUUUAAAAUCUAAAAAUCCAAUAAAAUAACGUAUCCAAAUAAUUGAAUUGGAUUUAAAAUCUAAAAAAUUGGAUUUGAAUUUCAAACCAAUGCAUUAAAAUGAAUUUAAAGUAAUUUGGAUAUAGUUAGUUACGAAUUGAUUUUAUAUAACUUGAUUUUUUGAACGCUCCUAAUAAAAACUAACUAUUGUUUCCUUUCAAAUGUGUGAUUUGAUAAAGGAACUCUAUUCUUUGACUCACUUCCUAAUUUACUUCAAAGAGCUUCUUAAAAGUAUUAAUGAAUGAGGUUCCUAAUAUACUUCAAAGAGGUUUUAAAAAGUUUUAAUGGAUGAGGUUUCAAUGCUACAUUACUCUAACAUUGUUGUUUAAGAUAAAAAAAAAAGAAUAAAUUAUUUUUUUAAUUGCACUUUUUACCUUUAUUUUUUUUAAUAUUUUGAUGAUUUUUUUCUUAAAAUUAAUUCCACAUAUUUUACCCAUAAUUUUUAAAAAAAUUGUGAAUUUUAUCAUUUGUCAUUCAUUUAUUAAUAAACAAAAGUUAUGAGUAUAGUUUACCAAAAAAAAAUAGUUAAGGACAAAAUUUGUCAAAAAAUAAAAAAUGUUGGGUAAAAAAAUUUCAAAAAUUAAAAAUUUAGAAAUAAACAAUGUAAUUAUUUCAAAAGGAAGACGAUAGAAGAUAAAAUUCACACAUUUUUAAUAAUUUGAGAAAAAGAAUCUUAAAUUAAUUUGUUCAAGUGAAAUUUAUCAAAAAAUUAUAAAAGUUAAGAGUAAAAAAUGCAAUCAAUCAAUAUCUAUAUACUAAGGUUGGAGUAUGAUGAAUAUACUAAAAUGCCCAUGGCUGAGGCUGCGACACGUGUCCCGCUCCGGUUAACAAAAUUGGAAUUUUAGAAAUUUUGUAGGAUUGACGCGUGUAGUUUUAUUUUUCUCCUAUACCUUGCCGUUUCUCCUUCUUCACUCCAUUAUUUUUUGUUGCCUUCGCCACAUGUCGCUUUCUAAUUGACGGAUUUAACGGCUCAUUUAAUUCCGCUUAAUACUCUUUUGUUGCCUUCGCCACAUGUCGCUUCCUAAUUAGCAAAUUUAACGACUCAUUUAAUUCCGCUUAAUACUUACUAUUUCUUCUCUCUCCUGAGUUUUCUCCAUUAUUGCAUUUUAUCCCUCAAUUUUCUCUUUCUUCAUCUUUCUCUUCUGAAUCUUCUUCUCUUUUCCUUUUAUUCUUUUUGUUUCUUCCUUCAUGCAGGCGAUUCUGGCUCCAUGCCCGCAAGUUGGUGAGGACGAGUUUUUACCGCAACACAUUCACCUUAGGUAUUUUCUUCUUUUUUUCUUUUUUUUUUCUUUCACGACAGCUUCGUAUCUAAUUUUUUUUAACCUUCCUUUUCUCUGCAAGUAUUUUCCGCUAUGGCUGAAGAAUUUGUGAAUGACUUUGUUCAUCAAAACGACAUCGUUGUCAUAACCCACAAUCCCCCCAAAGGUAUUUCCUUUUUCUUCGGAAUCUUCUUCUCUUUUCCUUCUAUUCUUUUUGUUUCUUCCUUCAUGCAGGCGAUUCCGGCUCUAUGUACCGCAACACAUUCACCUCAGGUAUUUCCUUCUUUUUUCUUUUUUUUUUCUUUCACGACAGCUUCGUAUCUAAUUUUUUUUUAACCUUCCUUUUCUCUGCGAGUAUUUUCCGCUAUGGCUGAAGAAUUUGUGAAUGGCUUUGUUCAUCAAAACGGCAUCGCUGUCAUAACCCAUAAUCCCCCCAAAGGUAUUUUCUUUUUCUUCUGAAUCUUCUUCUCUUUUCCUUUUAUUUUUUUUGUUUCUUCCUUCAUGCAGGCGAUUCCGGCUCCAUGCCUGCAAGUUGCUGAGGACGAGUUUUUACCGCAACACAUUCACCUCAGGUAUUUCCUUCUUUUUUUCUUUUUUUUUCUUUCACGACAGCUUCGUAUCUAAUUUUUUUUAACCUUCCUUUCCUCUGCGAGUAUUUUUCGCUAUGGCCGAAGAAUUUGUGAAUGACUUUGUUCAUCAAAACGACAUCGCUGUCAUAACCCACAAUCCCCCCAAAGGUAUUUUCUUCUUUCUUUUUCUUUUUCUUUCACAGCUUGGUAUCUAAUGUUUUUUUUUUUGUUUUUUGGUGGUGUUGCUGAUUUGUUGUUUAAAUAAGAAAAUCUUCCCAUAUUACAUAUGGGAGGAGAAUAUCUGUUAAUUUGUUGUCUAUGCAUGAAUAUGAUGGGAAGGGAAACAUCACUUCAAAUUUCAAACAAGUUCUCACAAUUUUCCCUGAUUGUCAGGUUAUAAUUACAACAUAUGAUUUCUCUGUUUUCAAAUACAGGUGAUGGGGAGAAAAAGACCAAAAUUUGGAUAAUAUUAGCUGUUGUGGUGGGGCUGAUCUGCCUUGGAAUCCAUAUAUUUCUGGUAUGGAGGUUUAAGAGAAAACCUAAAGGUAAUAUAUUUAUUUUCCUAAGUAUUUUUUCUUAUCCCUUUGAUGAAUGAAUGACAAGGUGUUGCAUACUGUUUUUUAAUAUUGAUUUCUAUAUACUCUCUCUUCCUUUCUAUUUGCCAGCAAUUUCAUCAGUUUUUGGUUACAACAACAAUAGCGAAAAUACCAGUCUUUGAUCUAACGAGGAGUACAGACUUAUCAUAAAUUUCAGGUGAGUUAGGCUUGGAAGGGAAUCAACUCAAUUUUAACUACAUUCUAGCAUAUUAUUAACAUGGAAAAGUAUUCUUACCCUUUGAAAUUGCUUAAUCAACUCAAUUUUGUUAUGUUGUGUGUCUUUGUGUAUAAAGUUUUUAAUUGUUAUUUAUAUUAGUUUUUUUUAUUAUUAUUGUGCCCAUAGAAAGUAAAGGGGGGAGAAGAUCGCAGUGGCUAUGGCAUGGAGCUUAAGGAGGUUGGCGUUGUUCAUUAGUUCAGUCGGGAAGUUGAAAACGACAUCGUUAGAGACAAAGUGGGGACCACACGACACUGCGGAUUUCAUAAUCAGAAUCUUUUAUCCCGAUUUUAAUUUUAUUAAUUUAAUACUAAUAUUGUAUGCAAGUAAUUGUAUAAAAAUAUAAUAUACAUAUAUCACAACACACGUUAAAUCUAUUAAAAAAAAUCUAAAUUUGAUCACAACAAAUUUAUACACGGUUAAUUAAAUUAUUAAAAGAAAAAAAUGAAAUAUAACAAAUGAUAUGAAAGAAAAAAGAUCUAAAUUUGAUCCCAGAUAAUUUAUACACAAUUAAUUAAAUUAUUAAAAUGAAAAAUGAAAUAUAAUAAAUGACAUGAAAGAAAGAUAAAAAUAUUAUAUAAAUAAAAUAUUAUAUGAAUAUACAAUUAUUUGGCUAAAAAUAUAUAUCUUAUCUGUUUGUAACAGGAAUAUGCCAAAAGUAAAAAUAGAUUUUUUUAUUGGGAAAUAUUUAAUAUUUUGUAAAUAUAAAACUAUUCAAUACUUAUACUUUUUGAAAUACUUGAUACUUUAAAUGUAUUGACGAAAUAUAAAAAUCCUUAAUUAAUUGUGGUCUAAAACUUUCCUUUCUUCGAAUACAAAAUUCCUUUAAUCGUGACAUGAAACUUUCCUUUCAUUGAAUAGCCGCAAAGGAAAGGAUACACGUGGCAUGAACGAUGAACCACACACACACAUCGCAUUCUCUUAUUGCCAUUGGGUCGGUGGUCAACUUUUCAUUCUUUCUCUAAGGAAUAUUGCAUCUUCCUAUUAUAGUUAUGCUACUAAUAAAAUAUGGAUCCCUUUACACCUUAGUUAUAAUAACAUUUUUUACAGAAUAAAAAUACUCUAAAAAGUGUAUUAUUUAAUAUAUUAACAACAUAAAUAUUUUUUAUUUGUAUUCUUAAAAUCUUAUUAAAUAUUUUAAGGACACUUAAAAUAUUUAGUUAUUUUUAUUGUGUACAAAAACUACCUUAAAACAAUAAUAUAGAUUACUUAUAGUGUGUUUAAAUAACACCUAGAGUUGAUUAGGAAAAAAAAACACUAGAAUCAAUUUUAUUUCACAAAAUCAAGACAUCAUGAAAAAGUACAAAUAAUUAUUUGUUAUUUGGCGCAGACUAAAAUAACUUUCUUUGUAAUUGUUGGUGAAAUAAACAUAAUCGAAUAUCAAGGAGCAGUGAAGUGUCCAAUGUGGUUUUCGAUUUUUCUAUAAGGACUGCGACUAUGUGAAAAGAUAACUUAAAAAAGAAUAUCAUUUCUCCUUAAAUUACUAAGGCCAAAUUCAGAUGAGUUUAUUAAGAUACUUACAAGAAAAUAAAAUGAAAUUAAUUAAAAGGAUAAGCAAAUCAAACUCUUUUCAUAAGUUAAAAUUUAUUUAUACACCUCAAACUUUUUAGAAACUUUCUUAUUUAACUUCUCCAUUGAGGUACAUAAGUUAAAUUAUAAGAGAAGAUCGAUGUAUUUUACCUCCUUAAAUCAUUUUAUAUCUUUCUCAUGAGUGUUUGUUGAGAAAUUUAUUUAAAUUAAAUUAGUCCUAAAUUUAGAAAGAAUAGAGGGGAUGCUCAAGUUCUGCUAUUUCAUAUUGUUUUGAUUUUGUACAAUAAAGCUAUGUAAUCAUGAUGCUUUUCUUUAAUUAUUAUGUUUUUUCAAAAAAAAUAUUUAUUAUGGCUCUCAGAACCUUUUAUUUCCUUUCAUGAACUUCUGGGACUGAUAUGAUGAAAAUAACUUUCUACAAAGCUGCUUUUUCCAACUAUCUGCAGUAAUUUCAUAAAUACCAGUUUCUAUUCAAUUACAUGUUUGUCAUGCUGAGAUUCACACGGGACAUAAAUCACGUCGGUAGUGUAAUGAAAAUUAGAAAUUUUCCUUACUUUCUCUUUUUGUAUUUAAUUAAUUAAUUUAUUUAUUGUUAUUAUUAUUAUUAUUAUUAUUAUUAUUAUUAUUAUUAUUAUUAUUAUUAUCAUUAUGUGUUGUUGAUUUAACUUUAGCAAGUGUGUUUAUUUUUUAUCUUAUUAACUUUUCAACUUAUUAUAUAUCCUUUUUGAUGUUUUAUUUUUUAAAUCAGACAUAUACAAUAGCGAGUAAUUAUAUAAAAAAAUAUCUAUUUGGCACUUUAAAAAAUAAUAGUGAGUAAUUUUAAAUUUGUGGCACUUUAAAAAUUAUUUAUUUUUCACAUGGGAUAUAUUUUCUUUCCAGCAUUUUAAUAGAUUUGUAUUUAGAAUUGUAUAUUUAUAUGUGUAUAGUUUCUUUUUUAAAUAACAUUGAUAUUCAAGCAUUAUGGAUUUAUAUAUGAAAUCCUCUUUUGACAUGUCUCUUUUGGUGCUCACAAUUAUGCAUUUUUUGAUCAUGUUCAUUAGGACAUUUAUCAGUUGCAACUUAUGCAUUUUUUGAUCAUCUUCAUUGGGACAUUUAUUGGUUGUAGGUUAUGUCUUUGAUCAAAUGUCAAGAUAAUAUUUUUGGGUAUAUUUUUAUAUUUCUUAUUUUAAUUCUAAAUUUGUGUCACUUUUGAAAUUAUUUAUUUGCAAGGAAGAUCUCCCCAUACGAACAAACAAAAAAAGGGGCGGUGAAAAGAUUACCAAAAAAAAAUAAAAUCCUCUUUUGGCAUGCCUCGACCGAGCUUACCAAAGACAAUCAGUACCACAACACACAACUAACAUAUUACAAUUUGUUGUCAUCAAAGUGACUAUCACGGAAAAAUUUGGAAAAUAACCUUUAGAAAAGAGAGGAAGUGACAAUAAUUUUCAUUUUACAUAUAAUUUAUUUUUUUUAUUUCCUCUGAACAAUCUCCCUUUUAUCAACAUUAUAAAUAUAUAUCUAUCGAAUCUUCAAUUAUAUUACUCUAAUUGCAAGUUUAUUAACCAAACGACCCAUGCUAUGCACAGAUUACAUACUAGUUAGAUCUAAAAAUCAUACACAUUUAAAAAAGUUAAAGCAUUAGAGUUAAAAUUAUAUUUAAACAAAAAAUUAAUAGAUAGAAAAUAAUGUGAUUGAAGAAAGUCCGAUGACGUUACACCUCCAUUCAGAAUCCCAAGGUCGUCCCCGAUCUACACGUUUGAGCUUGACUUAGAGUCAACUGACUUUGUACAAACAUAAGUCAAGUCACGUUAGUCGAUGGGAUUCGUUGUGCAUAUUGCGGUGGAAUCUUUGAUCUUAUCUUCAAUUUUUUUAUUUUAUUUUACACUAGGAUAUAUUUAAAGAAUUUCAUACAACUGUUAUAUUUUUUUUUAAUAAGAAUAACUUUUGGUAAAGUUAUUUCUCACUCUAUAUAUGUAUGUUUUAAUUUUUUUUUAAAAAACUAGAGCAAUAUUUGAAUGUAAAUACCUGUUAGUAUCACAUUACCAUUGAUGUAAAUUAAGAUUACCAUUAAUUAGUUUAGAAUUUGAAUUAUAAUUUUUGAUGUAAAAUAAAUCAUGUUGAGAGGUAAAUGUUUAUUUAUGUCUCAUAAUUUUUUAUAAAGAUUAAUCAUUUUUUUCAGUGAUAAAUAUUGAGUAAAUAGAUAUUUUGGUUAUUGACUUUUAACUCAUUUUGUAAAUUAAUUUCUAUCUUUUUGAAAUGUAAAAAAUAGUCUAUAUUUUUGCAUAAAUUUUAUAAAAUAGUCUUUGUCAUUAAAUACGAAAAUAAUGUCAUUAGUGAAAUAUAUUAUUGACAAUUGUAAUGUCACUUAAAUUAUCCAAUAAUAAAUUAUCUCAGAUUGUGACAUACAUAAAUUGUACUGCAAACUAUAAAAAAUUAUCAAAUAUUUUCUUCUUGCUUUUUCUUCUUCAAACUAGGUUUCUAAUUGAUGGGCUGCAUAUCCUAAGUUUUCAAGAAAUUAAAACCUUUCUUGACCUGAAUAAAGAGAUUGAGAUUCACAGCAGUCUAUUAGCAGAUUGAGAAUGUGGUGAACAAAAAAAAAUAAAGCGCCUAUCUCACUCUUUUUUUCCUCCGGAGUCUUAAAUUUUUCUUCACUAUCAAUCUUGUGCCAUUCUUUAUCAUUUAGUUCUUGCAUACACAGUAACAUCAUGUCCAUUAAAGAAUGCUUUGUGUUCCUUUUCGACCCUUAUAAUAUUUGACACUGUCCCUGGUUUCAAUGUGAUGGAAAUCAUGAAUGUUUGCGUGGUGGGGUGCACACUGAAGUUGGCAUUUUGAGGGAUGGACCCAGCAUCAACCAAAAACAGUGGGUUUAUAUAAGCUUUUUUGUGAUAAGAGUGUGGAUGGGACACCAUACAUCAUCACGGUACGUCACACUGUAUUGUGAUGAUAAAUCCCAAAUUCCUGUGUCAGGCGUAGUGAAUUUAUUUAUUUUAAAAAAUAAUGAUCACAAAUUUAUUUAGUUAUCCACAGAUCAAUGUUUUUUUUCAGUUAAUUGAUUCCUCUCGAUAACCCUAAUUUGAGGGGAAAAAAAGCAAUCAUGAAUGUUUGCGUGGUGGGGUGCACACUGAAGCCAUUAUGAGGGAUGGACCCAGCAUCAAUAAAAAAACAGUGGGUUUAUAUAGGCAUUUGUGAAAAGGGUGUGGAUGGGGCACCAUAGAUCAUCACCGUCACACUGUAUUAGGAUGAUAUAGUUACAGCACCCACAAACCAAUGUUUUUUUGUUUUUUCAGUUAAUUGAUUCCUCUCGAUAACCUAAUUUGAGGGGGAAAAAAGCAACUAGAGAAGAAAAUAUCUACAUAUAUGUCACAGAAACAGUUUGUCACUCAACCAUAUAUUUCAUCAACGAUAUUAUUUUUAAAUUUAAUAGUAAUAAUUAUUUUUAUAAAUUUAUGUAAGAAUAAAGACUAUUUUUUAUAUUUAAAAAAGAUAAAAACUAAUUUUUAAAAUGGACAAAAGUUAGAGACUAAGAUACUUAUUUACUCAUAAAUAUUUCUUACUUAUACCAAGAUAAAAAUAAAAAAAGUACUGCCAUUGAUGUCUCAAUCUUAUUCUCUUUUACUAUGAUAAAUUAUAGUCUGAAAGGCAGGCCUGCAUUACGGAAUGCCAAAAAUACUUUUCCAGCGUUGCUUUUGUCUGGUACUUUCGUCAGUUUCUUCGAAUUUUCUCAACAAUGCUAAGCAAUAGUGUUGACAUUGACCAAGAAUAACAAGCUUAAUAUUAAUGAAGUAGUGUAUUUUGGUAUACAUAUUUAUUUAUCAAGUGAGGUUCAAGAAUUCAUCAUCUAUAUACUUGUACCCGAUCAAUGAAUUAGCCUAUAAAGACCAAGUAUUCCUUGGAGUUGUUGUAUAACCAGGCUUAUAUAUUAGCUAUUAAUCUUCAGUUGACAUGCACAUCCAAAUGUCUUCUUUCCUCUUAGCUUCGCUUGCACUUUUGUUUUGCAUCUCCUCCUUGGAGAAGAGCUUUGCCUUUCAAGCAACAAAGGAAAGCAACAAUCUUCGUCAAUAUCAUUUUGUUCACCUCAACUCUCUAUUUCCAUCAUCUUCUUGCAGCUCUUCUGCCAAAGGUCAAUCCAAUCUUCAAUUCCUUGUUUUUUUAUUAUGUUUUUCAAUAAUAACUAGAGUUUCUCUUUGAUAAUUUAAGUUAACAAUCAAGUAAAUCUUUUUAUAUGAAGUAUUGAAGAGAGACUCUUAUUCUAAUUGAAGAGGAAUGUUAAUAUACUCUCUCUACCACUCUUUCUAGUGAGACUUUCUUUAAAAGUUAGAAGAGAAAAUUAUUAAAUAAAACAUAAAACAUUCAAAAAUUAAUAAUUUUUAAUAAAUUUCAGCUAAAAAUUAACAAGGAAUUUUUAUCUAGCUAAAAAUUGCAUACCAAACCUAGAUAUAAUUGAUGUGUACUCGAUAAGAUGUAGAAUUAUAUUGAUUGAUUGAAAAAAUUAAUAAUUGAUAUCAUUACAAAUGCAUAUAAAUAUGUAAUAAAUUACACAAUCAUUAAAAUCUGAUUUCCUUUUAACUUUUAGCUGUGUGUUUUCUCUUAAGGACUCUUUCAAGUCAAAUCAAUUUGAUUAUUCACUUUAAUAUGAUGGUUGAUUAACAAUCAAUGAUUUGGCAACACUAAUUCUAAUUCAGGUCCUAAAAGGAAAGCAUCAUUAGAAGUGGUGCACAAACAUGGCCCAUGCUCCCAACUAAAUCAUAGUGGCAAAGCAGAGGCUACAAUAUCACACAAUGAUAUUAUGAACCUAGACAAUGAAAGGGUAAAGUAUAUUCAGUCCAGGCUCUCUAAGAAUUUGGGUGGAGAAAAUAGAGUGAAGGAAUUGGAUUCAACUACCCUACCCGCCAAGUCUGGUAGACUUAUUGGGUCUGCAGACUAUUAUGUUGUUGUUGGUCUUGGUACACCCAAGAGGGACUUGUCACUCAUUUUUGACACAGGUAGUUAUCUUACAUGGACUCAGUGUGAACCCUGUGCUGGUUCUUGCUACAAGCAGCAAGAUCCAAUCUUUGAUCCAUCAAAGUCUUCAUCGUAUACCAAUAUCAAAUGCACAUCUUCGCUCUGCACUCAAUUCCGUUCUGCGGGUAAAUCUUUACUUUUGAAUACAGAAAAUAUUUAAAUUAUUGGGAUUACUAUAAGUGCCUGAGUAAUCCUAAUAAUUAUAUAUAUAGUCUGCUACCAUCAAAUGUUUAGAUAGAAAACAACCAUAAUUUUACAAUAUCACAAAUCCAUCAAAUAUAGAUCUAAGUAUUUAGACGGUUGCUUACUUGAUGAAAAAUAAAAAAUAAAAUAAAAAGUAAAAAUCAGGAAACUGGUGUUAAAAAUAAAGAUGCGAUGCAACUUUCUUUUUUUCUUUUCUGAUCUCUCGCUCACACAUGCACACGGAUUAAUACAGAGUGGUCCUAGACCAAUACUUGUUCAUGUUCUAGCAAAUGUUUAUCUAAUACACUAUGUAAACAAAUUAUGUAUAUAUAUAGAAGGGUUGCAAUAUUUGAUUAUAUUAUUAUUUAAUUAAUUUUUUUUCCAUGCAGGAUGCUCCUCAUCCACAGAUGCAUCAUGCAUAUAUGACGUCAAAUACGGUGACAAUUCCAUCUCCCGCGGCUUCUUGAGUCAGGAGCGCCUUACCAUCACCGCCACCGACAUCGUCCACGACUUCCUCUUUGGCUGUGGCCAAGACAACGAGGGCCUCUUCAGGGGCACCGCCGGCCUCAUGGGCCUCAGCCGCCACCCCAUUUCCUUUGUCCAACAAACCUCCUCAAUUUACAACAAAAUUUUCUCCUACUGUCUCCCCUCCACCCCCAGCUCCCUUGGCCACCUCACCUUCGGCGCUUCCGCCGCCACCAAUGCUAACCUCAAAUACACUCCCUUUUCCACAAUCUCCGGCGAAAACUCCUUCUACGGUCUCGACAUCGUCGGCAUCUCCGUUGGCGGCACCAAACUCCCUGCUGUCUCCUCCUCCACCUUCUCCGCCGGUGGCUCCAUCAUCGACUCCGGCACCGUGAUCACGCGGUUGCCUCCGACCGCGUACGCCGCGCUCCGGUCGGCAUUUCGGCAGUUUAUGAUGAAGUACCCCGUUGCCUAUGGGACCCGCCUACUUGACACGUGUUAUGAUUUCAGUGGGUAUAAGGAGAUUUCAGUUCCGAGGAUAGAUUUUGAAUUUGCCGGUGGCGUCAAGGUGGAGUUGCCAUUGGUGGGGAUACUCUAUGGGGAAAGUGCGCAACAACUGUGUUUGGCUUUUGCUGCAAAUGGGAAUGGCAAUGAUAUUACGAUAUUUGGGAAUGUGCAACAAAAGACACUAGAGGUCGUGUAUGAUGUUGAGGGUGGGAGGAUAGGGUUUGGUGCUGCUGGGUGCAACUGAAGUUAGUUUGAUUAAUAGUGGUGUUAAUUAAACAUGCUUUGGGCUUGUUAGGGAGGAAGAAAUCUUAAUUGGCUCUGGCAUUUUUAAUUACUAUUGUUGUUGUUACUGGAAAGUACUCUAAAACAUAUGAAAAAAUAAAUAAAGGAAAUGAUGUGGGAAAUAUGAUGUAACAUGUAGAAUGGAGGGGGUGUUAUAUUAUACAUAUGACUCCCAACCAUUGGGGUUGCUUGCAAUUGCACAUACAUGGCUAAUAUGGUUUUAUAAUAGUUAACUUAGCUAAACAUAUUAAAUUUAUUAAUAAUUUAUACUUUGUUGAACUCAUAAGCAAAAAAAAAACUAAUUUUACACUAAUAAAAUUAGUUGAAAUAAUUUAAUUUUAUUAAUUUAAAGUAAAAUAGUAAGAUUAUCUCUACAAAAAUUUUAUUAGAACUUGAUAUCACGAAUAAAUAAAAUACAUAAAAAUAGAAUUCAAUUAAAUAUAUUUUUUUAAAAAAUAAUAUUAUUAAAUAAGGAUAAAUAAUUAGAUUUGUUUAUAUUUAAAUUCAAGCCCUUAAAAAAAUUAAAAUUAUCAAAGAAUGGAAUAUGUCACAAAAUAAACAUAAAAGCGUCGUACGAAGAUUUUGUGACUAGCAAAUGCUCUCACAAAUUUUGGCGUCCUAUAAGCACUUAAGUGAGGGACUUUUUGUCCCGUCACAUACAAUGACAGAAUCUAUUGUGAUUCAUCUACCUCAACCCCCACUAGACCAAUCUUGUGUGUAGAAUGUGAGAAUAAAUAAUCAUUUUUCUAUGUAAAUUUGUAAAUAACAAUAAUACAUUAAAAUCAAAUAUAACGAAUAAACAAGCUAAAUAAUUAUGAGUUUAAUUUGCUUGAUAUCUCAUAAUAUCCAGUAGUGAAUAUAUUAACAACAUUCAAAGUUUUGUUUAACAUCCAAAGUCUUAAAAUACCUAUUUUAUAAAUAUCUAUUUAAAGUCUUAUAAUUUGUAACAUAAGUAGAAUAUAUAAUUAAUUUUCAAACACCCAUAUUAUCAUCUAAUUCAUCAUCUUGUUGAUCACGUGUAGGAAGUUAUGGACCACAUUGAAUUGGUUGAGAUCUUUGACCAACUGAAACAUUCUCCAUAAAUUAAGUCAUUUUUGCUCACAAAACAAAUGGCCCUCUUGUGAUUCAACAAACAUGUCUUUCAAGUUCUUAUCUUUUUCAAUCAAAUCGAAAACUUUAGUUCAUUUUCUCAUAUUCAUGCGAUGAGAAACCAUAAGAUGAUAUGGAUGAGAAAGAAAGCUUGUAUUUCCUUGCCUCUAAACCUAGACCAAAUAUCAAUUGUUAGAUCCCUUAAGAUAUAAAACCUUUUUUCUUAUAUAUGAGUUUAGAUGAAUUAUUACUCUUUCAAAAUUAUCCUUCAUUUUUUUCUACUUAAUUAUUUCUUACCUAAUUAGUCGUAGUCGACCUCUACUAAAAAAUAGUCUCAAUUAAUGUUAGUAAAAUAAUUACCUUUUCGACCUUGACUAGAGUUUUUUUCCCAAGGCAUGCUUUAAAAUUUAAAAAUCCAAUGAAAUUUAAUAACAUAUUUUGGAUAUAGUUAGUUACGGAAUGAUUCUAUAUAAUCUAAUUAUAUAACCUGAUUUCUUUGAAAACUCCUAAUAAAAACCAAUUAUUGUUUCCUUUCAAAUGUGUGAUUUGAUAAAGGAACUCUAUUCUUUGACUCACUUCCUAAUUUACUUAGAAGAGUUUCUUAAAAGUAUUAAUGAAUGAGGUUCCUAAUAUAUUUCAAAGAGGUUUUUAAAAGUUUUAUUGGAUGAGGUUUCAAUGCUACAUUACUCUAACAUUGUUGUUUAAGAUAAAUAAAAAGGAAUAAAUUAUAUUUUUAAUUGCACUUUUUAUCUUUAUUUUUUAAAAAAAUUUGAUGAUUUUUUUCUUAAAAUUAAUUUGUCAUAUUUUAGACAUAAUUUUUAAAAAAUUUGUGAAUUUCAUCAUUUGUCAUUCAUUUAUUAAUAAGCAAAAGUUAUGACUAUAGUUUACCAAAAACAAAAGUUUAGGACAGAAUUUGUUAAAAAAUAAAAAAUGUUGCGUAAAAAAACUUUCAAAAAUCAAAAAGUUAGAGAUAAACAAUGUAAUUAUUUCAAAAGGAAAAUGACGGAAGAUAAACAAUGUAAUAAUUUGAGAUAAAUUAUCUUAAAUUAAUUUUUUGAGGUGAAAUUUGUCAAAAAUUAUAGAAGUUAAGAGUAGAAAAUGCAAUUAGACCUAAAAAUUAUAGAGAUUAAAAAAAAUUAAAUCACCAUAGUUAAAAUUAUAUUUAAACCAAAAAUUAAUAAAUAGAAAAUAAUGUGAUUGAAGAAAGUACUACUCCGAUGACGUUACACCACCAACAUGGCAAAACCUCCAUUCAAAAGCCCUAGGUAUUCCCCGAUAUACUUUUGAGGAUCAAAGGGUCAACUGACUUUGUACAAACAAAAGUCAAGUCACGUUAGUCGAUCGGAUUGGUUGCGUAUAUUGCGGUGGAAACUUUGAUCUUAUCUCCACUUUUUAUUUUUUUUUAAUUUUACACUAGGAUAUAUUUAAAGGAUUUCAUACAACUGUUAUAUUUUUUUUUAGUAAGAACUAUGUAUACUGAUUAUUAAUAAUAAUAUUUGUUUUUAAAUUAAAUAUAUGCAUAUGAUUAUUAUUUUAAUAUUAAUCGACGAGUUAACAGGUUAGAUUUCCAGACCAAUUAGUUUAAAAAUUAAAAUCCAUGAUCCAACAUGUGUAUGAAAAGGUUAAAAUAGAUUGUUCAAUGUGUUUGAGUCCAUUUGGAUCCAUUUGAGUUAGAGAGUGACACAUGUUUUUGAACAAUUCUAAAUAUGCCCGUGUUACAUAUAAAAGAUUAUAGUUGUAGAUGAGAUAUGUGUAUAAUAUAAAUAAGUCAUAAUUACAUAGUAAUUUUCACUUUGGACCAACAUUUGCUAAUUAGAGUUAAGAUGAAUAAGUUUAUUUACUUUUUAAAAUAAAGUUCUUAUUAUUUCUUUUUAUGACUUAAGUUUAAGACAUUAUUUUUAAAAAAGUAAAUUAUGUCAAUAAACAAAUAUUGACAACUUAAAGUUAAAAUAUAUUUUAUAUACAUUGAAAAAAAUAUAUUUUUAUGUAAAAAUGCAUACAUAUAUUUGUGUACAUACUUGCAUUUGUUUGUAUAAAGUUUGAGGAAACUCAAUAAUUAUAGUUCAAUUGAUAAUAUAAGUUAAUUUUGUAAAAAAGAUUUAGGUUCAAUUUUCAUAUAAUAGAUCACCUUUGAGAAGAAGUAAUAGAUUUUUGGUGUGACUAAUUCUCAUCGAUAAUUAAUCUCAUUAUCCCUAAAUGCCAUAAUUAUUGUUAUAACAAUGCUAAGCAAUAUUAGUGUUGAGAUUGACCAAGAAUAACAAGCUUAAUUAAUAUUAAUGAAGUAGUGUAUUUUGGUAUACAUAUUUAUCAAGUGACGUUAAAGAAUUAAUAAUCUAUAUAUUUGGACACGAUCAAUGAAUUAGCCUAUAAAGACCAAGUAUUCCGACGGAGUUGUCGUAUAACCAGGCUUAUGUAUAUAUUAGCUAUUAAUCUUCAGUUGACAUGCACAUCCAAAUGUCUUCUUUCCUCUUAGCUUCAAUUCGCUUGCACUUUUGUUUUUCAUCUCCUCCUUGGAGAAGAGCUUUGCCUUUCAAGCAACAAAGGAAAGCAACAAUCUUCGUCAUAUCAUUUUGUUCACCUCAACUCUCUAUUUCCAUCAUCUUCUUGCAGCUCUUCUGCCAAAGGUCAAUCCAAUCUUCAAUUCCUUGUUUUUUUAUUAUGUUUUUCAAUAAUAGCUAGAGUUUCUCUUUGAUAAUUUAAGUUAACAAUCAAGUAAAUCUUUUUAUAUGAAGUAUUGAAGAGAGACUCUUAUUCUAAUUGAAGAGGAAUGUUAAUAUACUCUCUCUACCACUCUUUCUAGUGAGACUUUCUUUAAAAGUUAGAAGAGAAAAUUAUUAAAUAAAACAUAAAACAUUCAAAAAUUAAUAAUUUUUAAUAAAUUUCAGCUAAAAAUUAACAAGGAAUUUUUAUCUAGCUAAAAAUUGCAUACCAAACCUAGAUAUAAUUGAUGUGUACCCGAUAAAAUGUAGAAUUAUAUUUAUUGAUUGAAAAAAAUUAAUAAAUGAUAUCAUAACAAAUGCAUAUAAAUAUGUAAUAAAUUACACAAUCAUUAAAAUCUGGUUUCCUUUUAACUUUUAGCUAUUAGCUGUGUACGUGUUUUCUCUUAAGGACUCUUUCAAGUCACAUCCUUAUGUUAAAUCAAUUUUGAUUAUUCACUUUAAUAUGAUGGUUGAUUAACAAUCAAUGAUUUGGCAACACUAAUUCUAAUUCAGGUCCUAAAAGGAAAGCAUCAUUAGAAGUGGUACAUACACAAACAUGGUCCAUGCUCCCAACUAAAACAUAGAGGCAAAGCAGAGGCUACAAUAUCACACAAUGAUAUUAUGAACCUAGACAAUGAAAGGGUAAAGUAUAUUCAGUCCAGGCUCUCUAAGAAUUUGGGUCGAGAAAAUACUGUGAAGGAUUUGGAUUCAACUACCCUACCCGCCGAGUCUGGUAGCCUUAUUGGGUCUGCAAACUAUGUUGUUGUUGUUGGUCUUGGUACACCAAAGAGGGACUUGUCACUUGUUUUUGACACAGGUAGUGAUCUUACAUGGACUCAGUGUGAACCCUGUGCUGGUUCUUGCUACAAGCAGCAAGAUGCAAUCUUUGAUCCAUCAAAGUCUUCAUCGUAUACCAAUAUCACAUGCACAUCUUCCCUCUGCACUCAACUCACUUCUGAUGGUAAAUCUUUACUUUUGAAUACAGAAAUUAAUGAAGAAAAUAUUUAAACUAACAGGAUUACUGAGGCACUUAUAUAGUCUGAUACCAUCAAAUUAAAUGUUUAGAUAGAAAACAACCAUAAUUUUACAAUAUCACAAAUCCAAAUAUAGAUGUAAGUAUUUAGACGGUUGCUUACUUGAUGAAAAAUUAAAUAAAAAAAAGUAAAAAUCAAGAUACUGGAAUGAGAAAAAAUUAAAUGAGAUGUGUAUUUAAUUUGUUCAAUUUAUGAGAAAAAAUCAUGUUAUAAUUCUUAAUUAUAUGUUAUGUGAUGAUUAAUUAGAAACCAUGUGUGAUGAAGAUCAUUUAAUCAUUUUUCAACGAGAAGGGUUGCAAUAUUUGAUUAUAUUAUUAUUUAAUUUUUUUUUCCAUGCAGGAAUUAAGUCAGAAUGCUCCUCAUCCACAGAUGCAUCAUGCAUAUAUGACGCCAAAUACGGUGACAAUUCCACCUCCGUCGGCUUCUUGAGUCAGGAGCGCCUUACCAUCACCGCCACCGACAUCGUCGACGACUUCCUGUUCGGCUGCGGCCAAGACAAUGAGGGCCUCUUCAAUGGCUCCGCCGGCCUCAUGGGCCUCGGCCGCCACCCCAUUUCCAUUGUCCAACAAACCUCCUCAAAUUACAACAAAAUUUUCUCCUACUGUCUCCCCGCCACCUCCAGCUCCCUUGGCCACCUCACCUUCGGCGCUUCCGCCGCCACCAAUGCUAGUCUCAUAUACACUCCGUUGUCCACAAUCUCCGGCGACAACUCCUUCUACGGUCUCGACAUCGUCAGCAUCUCCGUUGGCGGCACCAAGCUCCCUGCUGUCUCCUCCUCCACCUUCUCCGCCGGUGGCUCCAUCAUCGACUCCGGCACCGUGAUCACGCGGCUGGCCCCGA
Molecule: long non-coding RNA, 24632 nt
Filed under: Glycine max (soybean)
Lineage: Eukaryota; Viridiplantae; Streptophyta; Magnoliopsida; Fabales; Fabaceae
Description: long non-coding RNA (GMAX_LNC001859)
Source: RNAcentral